CAGUAGCGGCGAGCGAACGGGGAGCAGCCCAGAGCCUGAAUCAGUGUGUGUGUUAGUGGAAGCGUCUGGAAAGGCGCGCGAUACAGGGUGACAGCCCCGUACACAAAAAUGCACAUGCUGUGAGCUCGAUGAGUAGGGCGGGACACGUGGUAUCCUGUCUGAAUAUGGGGGGACCAUCCUCCAAGGCUAAAUACUCCUGACUGACCGAUAGUGAACCAGUACCGUGAGGGAAAGGCGAAAAGAACCCCGGCGAGGGGAGUGAAAAAGAACCUGAAACCGUGUACGUACAAGCAGUGGGAGCCUCUUUUAUGGGGUGACUGCGUACCUUUUGUAUAAUGGGUCAGCGACUUAUAUUCUGUAGCAAGGUUAACCGAAUAGGGGAGCCGAAGGGAAACCGAGUCUUAACUGGGCGUUAAGUUGCAGGGUAUAGACCCGAAACCCGGUGAUCUAGCCAUGGGCAGGUUGAAGGUUGGGUAACACUAACUGGAGGACCGAACCGACUAAUGUUGAAAAAUUAGCGGAUGACUUGUGGCUGGGGGUGAAAGGCCAAUCAAACCGGGAGAUAGCUGGUUCUCCCCGAAAGCUAUUUAGGUAGCGCCUCGUGAAUUCAUCUCCGGGGGUAGAGCACUGUUUCGGCAAGGGGGUCAUCCCGACUUACCAACCCGAUGCAAACUGCGAAUACCGGAGAAUGUUAUCACGGGAGACACACGGCGGGUGCUAACGUCCGUCGUGAAGAGGGAAACAACCCAGACCGCCAGCUAAGGUCCCAAAGUCAUGGUUAAGUGGGAAACGAUGUGGGAAGGCCCAGACAGCCAGGAUGUUGGCUUAGAAGCAGCCAUCAUUUAAAGAAAGCGUAAUAGCUCACUGGUCGAGUCGGCCUGCGCGGAAGAUGUAACGGGGCUAAACCAUGCACCGAAGCUGCGGCAGCGACGCUUAUGCGUUGUUGGGUAGGGGAGCGUUCUGUAAGCCUGUGAAGGUGUGCUGUGAGGCAUGCUGGAGGUAUCAGAAGUGCGAAUGCUGACAUAAGUAACGAUAAAGCGGGUGAAAAGCCCGCUCGCCGGAAGACCAAGGGUUCCUGUCCAACGUUAAUCGGGGCAGGGUGAGUCGACCCCUAAGGCGAGGCCGAAAGGCGUAGUCGAUGGGAAACAGGUUAAUAUUCCUGUACUUGGUGUUACUGCGAAGGGGGGACGGAGAAGGCUAUGUUGGCCGGGCGACGGUUGUCCCGGUUUAAGCGUGUAGGCUGGUUUUCCAGGCAAAUCCGGAAAAUCAAG
This 1271-nucleotide ribosomal RNA is filed under the name Escherichia coli. RNAcentral's name for it is "partial 23S ribosomal RNA". It matches the Rfam family "Bacterial large subunit ribosomal RNA", at positions 241 to 1554 of the family's 2925-position model. Lineage: Bacteria; Pseudomonadati; Pseudomonadota; Gammaproteobacteria; Enterobacterales; Enterobacteriaceae. The record is from RNAcentral.